AGCAAACAGGACGGGAAGUCAUCGCAGAUUCUGUUACCUGGCAAGCUCAUUUGUGCUCUUCUUUUUUUGUUCAAAUUUUGCAGCCAAAGUCCAGCUGUGGAGCUGUCUCUUAGCAACCAACUGGAGCUAGCUGCUCUUUGGAAAUUCCCUGUGAACUAGCAUAUGGCGUUUUCUGAUCCGACCUCUGCCAAGAAAAGAUAACACACAGACAUCUAAGAGAGAUGAGAGGAGGGGGAAACUCAUAAAUGCCUUCUGCCCUCUGCCCUCUUUCCGCCCCAAAAUGCACACACUUACACGUUAUCCCAGAACUCCCAGCAAAGAAGGAUAAGCUUUUGCAAGCACAAAGUCUCCGGUUGUCAUUCCAGGGCUGCUGUGCCAUAGCUACAUUUAGAAAGUUGCAGGAGAAAAUAAACUGAUUAACAAGCAGCGAAACCUGCAAAUUAUGCCUCACUUAGGCUUAGAUUCAAGAAAACCCAGACCAAGCUUGGGAUUCUAAGAGUCUCUCCGUGCAAGCUGACCUCAUGGAGAAAGUGGCAGAGCUUGUCCCUUCCACUGGGAGACCCUGGAGUUCAUUCAGGAGACUGGAUGCCCCUGGGCUCGGGCUGCACUGUGGACCCCACUGUGGAAUCACCACUCCCAGGCUGACCUCAGGCAGGUUCCAGAUCUGUUCUCCACUUCUGCAACAAAACUUACCCGGGCCAUGGUUUUAUGCAGAAAUCUGACAAGGCAGGUCCAUCAAGAGGUUUCCAGAAGAAGGCAUCGCUAUCACAGGAGAUGGCAGCUCCAUGCCUGUUACUGCCCCUGAAGAUGUUCCAGUGGGACAGGGUGUGGAGGUGGAAGACAGCAACAGUGACGAUCCUGACCCUAAAUUGACCAGAUUGCUUUGAGGAACUAAGAAGCUGUUAAACCUUUGGAAGAACUGGCCUGAUACGUUGUCUACAUGGUUCUCCUACAAGGUGUAUGAGUCCAUUUUUAUGCUGCUGAUAAAGACAUACCUGCAACUAAGAGGAAAAAGUUGUUUAACUGGACUUACAGUUCCACAUGGCUGGGAAGGCCUCAGAAUCAUGGCAGGAGGCGAAAGGCACUUCUUACAUGGUGGCACCAAGGGAAAAUGAGGAUGAUGAAAAAGUGAAAACCCCUGAAAAAAUCAGAUUUUGUGAGACUUAUUCACUACCACGAGAACAGUCUGGGGGAAACCGCUCCCAUGAUUCAAAUUAUCUCCCACCCGGUCCCUGCCCCCGCAACCCCCCCACAACAUAUGAGAAUUACGGGAGUACAAUUCAAGAAGAUUUAGGUGGGGACACAAAGCCAAACCAUAUUACAAGGUUUAUAGCCUUGCAGUAAGUAAAGAAUACCAUUUUCUGACAAGCCCAGGAACUUCAGGAUAUUUUGGGGACCUCAAAAAAGAGGGAUUUACCCAAUUCAUACAAGUAUUACAGGCAAAAUCUGAUGGUGAAUUGCUGGCCUGGCUUCCAAUCUUAAGAGGCUUUUAAAGAUUGAACCUGAAAUUCCUUAUAAAAAAAGUUUCAGUCAAGUCAAUUUAAAAAGUGCUCAGAUGGCCAAGUACAAUUCUGGCUGUACUUUAGUCAAAUACUCAGGCCAAGUAUAACAAGUCUAAGACUUUAUUUUGCAAAUAAAUUGGUCCUACUGUAAACCAAAAAGUGUCUGAGACAAGUUUCAGUCCAUUUAGAAAGUUUAUUUUGCCAAGGUUAAGGACAUACCAGUGACACAGCCUCGGGAGAUCUUGACAACAUGUGCCUAAGGUGGUUGGGGCACAGCUUGGUUUUCUACAUUUUAGGGAGACAUGAGACUCAAUCAUUAUAUGCACGAUGUACAUUGGUUUGGUCCAGAAAAGAGGGACAACUUAAAACCAAAAGAGGGCUUCCAGGUCAGAGGUAGAUAAGAGACAAAUGGUUGCAUUCUUUUGAGUUUCUGAUUAGGCUUUCACUGAAUACACAAUUUACAGAAAUAGUCGCUUAUGCCUUAGUCUGGCUUAGUAAAGCAACAGAACAAAGGAAGCACUCAGAUGCGCGUGUCCCAUGUGAGCAGAGGGAUAACUUUGACAUCUGUUUGUGCUUUGUCUAAAGGAAUUUUUCUUCGUGGGAAAAUUGUAAGGGAGGCUUUCAGACAAAUUUUUCUCCUAUUUUUUAAGCUCACUGAAAUUGAUAAUACCUUUUUACCGAGGCCUUGCAAGCUGAAGUUUAUGCAUAAAUAACCUUGUGACAUACAAAUUACAGAUCACAAAAUCUGUCAGAUCGCCAAUGCCUCCUUCCACAGUAACUAAAGAUGCCUCUAGUUGAACAGCUGGAUACCUCAACUGACUGCUCUCCAGACUCUAAAGAAAUCCGUUUAUAGACUGCUCCAAAUAUUAACCUUUGUUUUUCUGCUGUUUGGGAGCCCAUCUGCAACGCCAUUUCCUGAAAUGAGACACAGCUGUUUAAUUGGACUGGUCUACUCGUAGAAAUAGAACACCAGUUUAAUGAUAAUUUUUGCUACUCAGCUAUUAACUCAAAUAUUAUCUUCACACCCAACAACUUAGAUUUUAGUGUGUGAAACUUUGAGGGACAUUUUAGACAGAGGACUUUUGGGGUGCAGAAGUGGUUCCCUGAUAUAUGACACCUGGGCAUGGUGAGUGCUUUUAAACAUUAAAAGACCUCAUAAAUAAGCCUCAGAAUCAUGGUCCCCCUAAAACUGUCUUGGGGCAGGAAGGGACUCUCUCUCUGUAAUUUCCUUAUCUGACUAAGAAAUCUUCUUCCCAAAAAACCACAAUUGCCAUCUAGCCCAUUCCUGAAAUCUCAUUUCAGACAGAAAUGUUACCAUAUCUGGAUGGUCUCUUUCACAAGAUAAUGCCUGCCUCUUGGGGUCAUUCAAAUUCCAAAAAGUAUUAUUUACAAGUUAAUUUCUGUCUCUAAAUUCCACACCUUUUCUUCCUAAUAAUCAUUUACUGCUCCUGAAUAGCAUUGUCUGCAUUCCUCAUCUCCUCCCUCCUUUGUGAAAAAGGGUUUAUAAGCCUCUGUCCCCACUGGGGGUUAGGGUAAUCACUCUGUGAUUCUCUCCAGUGCAUGUUAAAAAUGUGUAUACCUCUUCUCCAAUUAAUCUGUCUUCUGCCAGUCAAUUUUCAGCAAACCUUCAGAGGGCAAAGUAGAUGUUUCCCUUGGCCCCUGUACCCCUUAGGAGCCCUGAAACACUUAUUUUUCCAUAUUAUGCUCUUUAUAUUAAUUUGCUAAUUUACUGAACACAUAUUUUUCAAGCAACUCCUCAUUUGCUGGGCACCUUUCUGGGUGCUGGGACAUAAAGAGACGUGGAGAGAGUUGCCUUGUGAUACAGGAGGUAGAAAGAAAUUAUUUAGGCAGAUAGUGAGGGUAAAAGAGUCUUUGACAGAGCUUCCCUUUUAACAAAAAGCAGCCCAAGAAAUUAUUUUUUUUUCUAACAAAGGGCAGCCUGAAAAGUUGAGCUGCAAACAUAGACAAGCAAGCUGGAAGCUUGCAUGGGAAAUGCCAGCAGCUGUGCCAAUAGAAAAUGGCUACCUGGGGGUCAGGCACGUCCAACGUUGAGGCUCCAUCUUCCCUUUUUUUGUCACUGUGUGUACAGUAAAGGAAUGGGCAACAUGGUGCUGCCACAGCAGAGGACCUGCCUGCUUAAUGAGUGAUUAGGAUGGGGGUGGCCAAAAAUUCGCACCCUAUGCAAAUGGCACACCUAGUCCUAACCAGUUUUUCACACCCCAUGCAAAUGGCACACCUGGUCCAGCCAAUCUUUUGUGCUCUAUGUAAGUCAAAUACCACCCCCUCACCAGACAUCUAUAAAACCUCCUACAUUUCACCACGGCUCCAGCAGCUCAUUUCUUCGGGACCCUUCUCUGCUGCAGGGAGCCGUCCUCCUCCUUUCACCUGUUAAACAUCCACUCUCAACCUCACUCUUCGUGUGUCUGUACCCUUUAGUUUCUCAGCCAUGAGACAGUGAUUUCCAGGGUAUCGCCCCAGACAAUGAGGCCGUUUCACUUGCACACUCACUUGCACACUCGAUUUGUCCCACUCUAGGCCCCCUACUAGGUACCUUGGGUAAGUAAUACAGCAUAUUUUUAUCCUAUGUUUUCUUAAAAUAAGUAAUGGGGAUACUAGAAGCUACAAUCUCAGUCAUGCCAACAAUUAUGGAAUCCAUGGGAAGCACUUGUUACGGACUUAGACCUGGUGAGCGUCUGUAUUUUUUCUGUGGCUGUUGUAACAAAUUACUACCAACGUGGUGGUUUAAAACAAUUCCCACAGUAGAGCUGGCCUGAGUUCCAAGCACCUUCACGGGGCUAAAAUUGAGGUAUUUGGGGAGAGCUGCACUCCUUCUGGAGGCUUUGGGGAGCACCGGCCCUUGGCUCUCCUGACUUCAGGUGGCUGCCAGCACUCGGCUGCAGCUGCCUCACUGCAAUCUGUGCCUCUGUAGUCGUGCCGGGGCCAAGGCAACACGUCCCCUUCACCCUCUGAAGGCUUGCUGGUAAAUAAACUGACAAAAGGCAGAUUAAUUGGAGGAAAGGCAUGAACAUUUAUUAAUAGGUGCUUGGGGGAGAGCCACAGAGUGAUUGUCCCAUAUUCAAUGGGGCCCAGAUACUUGUAUAGCCCUAUUUCAGAGGGGAAGAGGAGAUGGGAAUGUAGGUAAUUACAGGGUGAUACAUGAUUAAAGAAGAGAAUAAAUAGAUCAGGGAACAGGGAUUCACUUGUAAAUGAUGCUCUUUGAAAAUUGACUGAGACUGAGAGACAGACAUUAUCUUGUGAAAGUCUGUCCUGGAGUGGUUACACUCUUGGUCCUGUUUUCUGUAAUAGAUAAUGAGCUAACAGAGAGAGGAAGGAAAGACAGUUGUUCUCCUUGGAUACUCCCUCUGGUCUCUAUGUAGACAGAGAAAAUUCUCCUCCAGCCUCUGUUGAUCUCUGAAGGUCUUUAAUUAAAAAUGCACAUUACAUCAGGGACCACUAUUUUGGGGUGAAGUUCUCUGCACUCCUUCAGUUUCACAUCUUCUGCCAGUUAAGCCACCCUCUGUCUCUCUCUUACAGUAGCACUUGUGAUUCCAUUUAAGGUACACCUCGAUAAUCAGAGCUAUUGCUCCACCACAGAAUCCUUAAACACAUUCCCAAAGACCCUUUCUCUACAUCGGGGAACAACUACACAUUCCAGAGAUUAGGACCUGAUACCUGUGUAAGCUAUUAUUUAGCUCACCACUACAUUUGAUAUAUACCUGUCCCUGGCCCCCAAUCAUUAGAUUAUAAAGAAGGGCUGUCCAAUUGUCAUCUGUCUUCACUGUGGUGCCAACCCUGGAGCUCCCUUGUUAAUACCUAUAUAAUCCUGAGCCCCAACAUGGUUUCAUCUACGCAGAGUAGGGCAGACCUCACCACGUGGGCCAUGGGGCAUUGACCUACUCUGUUUAUCGGUGAUCAGUUCUCUUCCCAUGAUCUGGCCUAAAGUUUCUGGAAAACAGUUUCUAUGCAUAAUUAUCCCAGGUGGAUAUUCCAGAGCUAUAAAAUGCAGAGAUCCUGUCCUGGCCCUGUGUCUAAGCUAGAGAAACAUUUAUUUCAGGUUAUUCUGAGGCUUGAUGGGAAUGACCCUGGUUCCUGGUCUAACCUAAUAGUAAACAUGUUCCCACAGCCAGGUUCUGAGUACUCCAUGGGGCCUGAGCUAACCUCAGUUUUGGGGGACUGUUCUACUUUGUGAAUCACUUUACCAGGCACACAGGCUCUGAAGUUCUUUUCUUCCCUCUUCUUUCCCUCUCUUCCUCAUUCUCCCUCUCCUCUCUCACUCCAUUGAUCUUUUUCUAUUCCUCAACUCCCCAUUUGCUGUCAUCUACUUUGAUUUCCUCAUUCUCCCUCAUGUCUAUAUAUCCAUAUACAGCUUAACUCCCCCCCUCCAUCUCAUCUGAUUCCUCUGUUGAUGAAAAAGCCAAACUCUGAAAAAUAUUUAGAGAUUUAUUCUUAACCAAUAUGAGUGACCAUGGUCAAGGGAACAGUCUUAGAAGGUCUGGAGAAAGUGAGGUGGUUGGAUUACAGCUUGGUUUAUACUUUUUGUGGAGACAAAAGUUACAGACAAAGACAUAAAUCAAUACAUGUGUCAGAGGUGUUUGAACCAGAGAGACUCCAUCUGAAUAGGGGCAUGGUAAAAUAAGAGUGAGACCUACUGGGCUGCAUUCCCAGGAGGUUAGGUAUUCUUAACUUCACAAGAUGAGAUAGGAGGUUGGCCGGAGAUGCAGGUCAUACAGACCUUGCUGAUAACACAGGUUGCAGUAAAGAAGCUGGUGAAAACCCCCGAAAACCAAGAUGGCAACGAGAGUGAUCUCUGGUCUUCACUGCUACACUCCCACUAGCACCAGGACAGUUUACAAAUGCCAUGGCAAUAUCAGGAAGUUACCCUAUAUGGCCUAAAAUGGGAGUCACGAAUAAUCCACCCCUUGUUUAAUAUAUCAUCAAGAAAUAACCAUAAAAAUGGGCAACCAGCAGCCCUCGAAGCUGCUCUGCCUAUGAUGUAGCUAUUCUUUAUUCCUUUGCUUUCACUUUACUGUAUGGACGCACCCCGAAUUCUUUCUUGCACAACAUCCAAGAACCCUCCCUUGGAGUCUGGACCCUGACCUCUUUCCAGUAACACAUGUAAGGUAUACAUUGGUAGGCCCAAAGAUGUGAAAUAUUUCAAAGUGGGGACUUACAGGUAAUAGGUGAAUUCAAGGAUUUUCUGAUCAGCAUUUGGUUGAAAGAAUUUAGCUUUGUCUAAAGACAGUAGAAAGACAUGCUUGAGUUAAGAAAAGGAAGGUUGUGGAAGCCAAGGUUCUUGUUAUGUAGAUGAAGCCUCUAGGUAGUAUUCUUCUGAGAGAAUAGAUGGUCAAUGUCUCUUUUCAGAUUUUAAAUACAGUCCAACUCAAUUAAAUCUCCUCUAGACGUGGCAAAGACCUAGAAAGGGAAAGAGAUUCUAAAGAUGCAAAACUUUACCCCACAAAAGGCUUUGCAGGGCCAUUUCAAAAUAUAUCAGAUAAAUAUAUUUUGAAGUAAAGUGUGUCAGUUUCUUUCAGGGUCUGCUGUCGUGUGAUGCUAUACCAGAGUCAAGUUGGAAUUUGGCAUCUUACUGCCAAAGGGUCUGUUUCAUCCAUAUAAGGAUGUCUAUUUUAAUGUUAAUGCUGGUAAGUUUUGCCUAAACUCCAAAAAAAGAGGGGGUAUAAUGAGGCAUGUCUGACCUGUCUUCCUUCAUGGCCUGGAAUUCAGUUUUUUCGGUUUCUUUGUAAUUCCCUUGGCCCAGAGGGUGGACCCAUUCAUUCGGUCUGAUGGAGGGCUUAGAGAUUUUAUUUUUGGUUUACACCUCAGACUCGAUUCAAGUCAGCAAAUACUUUUAGCACAAAGUAUAUGCCAGAUAUUGUUUAAAGUGGGAUAAAGAACAGAUGGUAUGCCUGGCAUGGUCCUGAUCUGGAAGGACCUAACCUCUUCCUGCCUCUUCCUGGAACCUGUCUUUGCUUUUCAAAUGCCUGCCAGUCUCUGCCUAUCCUUUCCACUCUGUGUCCUGAUUUCUUGUGUUCUCCUCUCACUUUCUCUUGUGUUCUCUGUCCUCUCUCUUCCUUUUGUUCUAAAAUGGCAUCAAAAUCUUAUAAUAAAAAUCUAUCUCCCAUGUUACUUGAAUGACUCUCUACCAAUCUCAUUAUGUUUGUUAUAGAUGAAUAUAAUAUGAGUGAUUUUAAAAAUAUUAUUUUAUUAAAUAAAUUAUGAAAAAUACACAGCAAGGCCUGGGAUUGACAUGCUCAUUUUCAGCCUCAAUAUUAAAUCUCUAGACUGCACAAAUGAUUACACAUUGAACUAAAUGUAUGGUUUUAUCUUUUGUGCCUAUAAAGAAAAGUCUUUCAUAUUAUACAAUUUGUACCACUUUCUCUUUUUUUUGCACAUACACUUCUCCAGCUCCAUUGCCAAACCUCAGCUGUCAAUUCUGUUUAGUCCCGUUGAUGAAAAGAACCAAAUUCUAAAAUAUUUGAAGAGAUUCUUUCUGAACCAUAUAGGAGUGACCAUGGCCCAUGACACAGCCCUCAGGAGAUCUUGAGAACAUGUGCUCAAGGUGGUAGGGGUGUGGCUUGGUUUUAUGCAUUUUAGGGAGACAUGAGACUUCAAUCACAC
RNAcentral lists this long non-coding RNA (8117 nucleotides) under Homo sapiens (human). RNAcentral describes it as "HSALNT0183928". Lineage: Eukaryota; Metazoa; Chordata; Mammalia; Primates; Hominidae. The record is from RNAcentral.